Molecule: microRNA precursor, 81 nt
Organism: Cebus imitator (Panamanian white-faced capuchin)
Lineage: Eukaryota; Metazoa; Chordata; Mammalia; Primates; Cebidae
Source: Ensembl
UACAGGUGCAGGGGAACUGUAGAUGAAAAGGCUUGGCACCUGAGGGGAAGCCUCAGUUCAUUCUCAUUUUACUCACCUGUU